Molecule: long non-coding RNA, 349 nt
Organism: Helianthus annuus (common sunflower)
Lineage: Eukaryota; Viridiplantae; Streptophyta; Magnoliopsida; Asterales; Asteraceae
Exons: 3
Source: RefSeq, a predicted model, not a curated record
GUGAGAAGGCCAGGGGAAAGCUUUUCCUCUAAAAAACCCUAACAUCUUAAUUUCUAUCAAAUUGAAAGUGAAAUCAGUGAAGAAUCGAAUGCAUGAGCUAAGAGUUCUGAUUGUCUAAGUAUUCUUGAUCUCAAGCACGAAGAAGGAAGAAGGCACAAGUCACUCGAAGGCACAAGCAUCUCAAGACCGCGGUAAAUCCCUUGCUUGAUUGGGGCGCACCCGGACUGAACACACACAAUGUCGACUUUUUAUACGCUUCCGGUUCAAGUUGUCUAUUAUGUAUGGGUCAAAGUUUUAAUUUUGGGAUAUGGUGUUAAACUUAUGUCUAGUAGGUUAGUAUGUAGUUUGA